GACGGGCGCACCGACUAAGGUGCGCCCGUUUUCGUUCGAGGUAACGGGAAGCAGGUGAAAGACCUGCGCUGCCCCCGCAACGGUAACCGACGCGCCCCUUAAGGAGCGCAGCAUCGCCAUCCGCCACUGCUGAAUGCGGGAAGGCGGCGAUGUGACGUCGGCAGCCCGGAGACCGCCCUCGACGCGAUCCGACAG
RNAcentral lists this non-coding RNA (195 nucleotides) under Pseudomonas denitrificans (nom. rej.). Lineage: Bacteria; Pseudomonadati; Pseudomonadota; Gammaproteobacteria; Pseudomonadales; Pseudomonadaceae. The record is from RNAcentral.